GAUGAAGAACGUAGCGAAAUGCGAUAAGUAAUGUGAAUUGCAGAAUUCAGUGACUCAUCGAAUCUUUGAACGCACAUUGCGCCCGCCAGUAUUCUGGCGGGCAUGCCUGUUCGAGCGUCAUUACAACCCUCAGGCCCCCGGGCCUGGCGUUGGGGAUCGGCGGAGCCCCCCGUGGGCACACGCCGUCCCCCAAAUGCAGUGGCGGUCCCGCCGCAGCUUCCAUCGCGUAGUAGCUAACACCUCGCGACUGGAGAGCGGCGCGGCCACGCCGUAAAACACCCAACUCUUCUGAAGUUGACCUCGAAUCAGGUAGGAAUACCCGCUGAACUUAAGCAUAUCAAUAAGCGGAGGA
RNAcentral lists this unclassified non-coding RNA (352 nucleotides) under soil metagenome. RNAcentral's name for it is "partial contains 5.8S ribosomal RNA, internal transcribed spacer 2, and large subunit ribosomal RNA". The stretch from base 1 to 120 matches the Rfam family "5.8S ribosomal RNA", at positions 35 to 154 of the family's 154-position model. The record is from RNAcentral.